GAUGAACGCUGGCGGCGUGCUUAACACAUGCAAGUCGAACGGAAAGGCCCAAGCUUGCUUGGGUACUCGAGUGGCGAACGGGUGAGUAACACGUGGGUGAUCUGCCCUGCACUUCGGGAUAAGCCUUGGAAACUGGGUCUAAUACCGGAUAGGACCACUUCUUGGAUGUUGUGGUGGAAAGUUUUUUCGGUGUGGGAUGAGCUCGCGGCCUAUCAGCUUGUUGGUGGGGUAAUGGCCUACCAAGGCGUCGACGGGUAGCCGGCCUGAGAGGGUGUACGGCCACAUUGGGACUGAGAGACGGCCCAGACUCCUACGGGAGGCAGCAGGGGGGAAGAUUGCACAAUGGGCGCAAGCCUGAUGAAGCGACGCCGCGUGGGGGAUGACGGCCUUCGGGUUGUAAACGCCUUUCGCUAGGGACGAAGCGUUUUGUGACGGUACCUGGAGAAGAAGCACCGGCUAACUACGUG
This 467-nucleotide ribosomal RNA is filed under the name uncultured bacterium. RNAcentral describes it as "partial 16S ribosomal RNA". It matches the Rfam family "Bacterial small subunit ribosomal RNA", at positions 28 to 507 of the family's 1533-position model. The record is from RNAcentral.